AUAUCAAUAAGCGGAGGAAAAGAAACCAACAGGGAUUGCCUUAGUAACGGCGAGUGAAGCGGCAAAAGCUCAGAUUUGAAAUCUGAUGUUGUUAAACAUCCGAAUUGUAAUCUGUAGAGAAGUACUUUAUGUCAGAUAUUAGCUUAAGUCCUUUGGAAUAGGGCGUCAUAGAGGGUGAGAAUCCCGUUCAUGGCUUUUGUUCUGUUCAUUUGUAAGUCUUCUUCAACGAGUCGAGUUGUUUGGGAAUGCAGCUCUAAAUGGGUGGUAAAUUUCAUCUAAAGCUAAAUAUUGGCAAGAGACCGAUAGCGCACAAGUAGAGUAAUCGAAAGAUGAAAAGAACUCUGGACAGAGAGUUAAACAGUAC
Molecule: ribosomal RNA, 364 nt
Filed under: uncultured fungus
Lineage: Eukaryota; Fungi
Description: eukaryotic LSU rRNA
Rfam family: Eukaryotic large subunit ribosomal RNA
Source: RNAcentral